AAACUCUUGGUCCACAUAACCCUUUCCUCAAAUUUUCUCUCAUCUUAAAGAAGAACAAAGGCAGAUGGCUGCUGUAAUCGAGUAGCUUCAAGUGCAAGACAAGUUUACAAUUGUUUCCUUCCAUUUCAUCUUAUUUCAUGUUUUUUCUUUUUCUAUUCUUCUAAUCAAUUUGCUUUAAUUCUUUGGAUAUUAAGGCAGUAGAAAUGUCCCACCUCUUUUGAAUUGAAAUCCCUAGGCUUGUUAGCAAUGGAGUGGGGAUCCAACACUGAAAUAGAGCUUUAACUUCUUUAUGUAUUUAGGGUUUUAUAAAAUUAAUCAAAAAAUUAGAGCCUUAUUUACAUUGAUGAAAGUGGAAAUAGGGAUUUUGCUAUAGCUCAAAGAAUGUUCUUGUUCUGUUUGCCAAUUGAACCAAAUAUCUGCUUUAAUGGGUUGCUCUUUUGUUUUUUUUAACCAAUUGAACCAAAUAUUUGCUUUACCAAUUCCUUCCUUGUUUUUGUGUUUGUCCUUUUUGGAUUUGAUGAAAAGGAAGAAUAGAGCAACAUGGAAACUGUAACAAGAACUUUAUUUCUCUCAAAUUCAAUUUAAAUGCUUGCAAAACCUGAUGUAUAGAGCUC
This 614-nucleotide unclassified non-coding RNA is filed under the name Hevea brasiliensis (rubber tree). Lineage: Eukaryota; Viridiplantae; Streptophyta; Magnoliopsida; Malpighiales; Euphorbiaceae. The record is from RNAcentral.